RNAcentral lists this ribosomal RNA (686 nucleotides) under Zetaproteobacteria bacterium CG_4_10_14_0_8_um_filter_59_127. Its description in RNAcentral is "bacterial SSU rRNA". It matches the Rfam family "Bacterial small subunit ribosomal RNA", at positions 151 to 832 of the family's 1533-position model. Lineage: Bacteria; Pseudomonadati; Pseudomonadota; Candidatius Mariprofundia. The record is from RNAcentral.
GAGAAAUCCAAGCUAAUACCGCAUAAUACCUUCGGGUUAAAGAGGGGGAUCUUCGGACCUCUCGCUUAUGGAUGGUCCCGCGUCUGAUUAGCUAGUUGGUAGGGUAAUGGCCUACCAAGGCAAUGAUCAGUAGCUGGUCUGAGAGGAUGAUCAGUCACACUGGAACUGAGACACGGUCCAGACUCCUACGGGAGGCAGCAGUGGGGAAUUUUGCACAAUGGGCGAAAGCCUGAUGCAGCGACGCCGCGUGCGGGAAGAAGGCCUUCGGGUUGUAAACCGCUUUCAACAGGGAAGAAGGAAUGAGAGCUAAUACCUCUCUGCCUUGACGGUACCUGUAGAAGAAGCACCGGCUAAUUUCGUGCCAGCAGCCGCGGUAAUACGAAAGGUGCAAGCGUUGUUCGGAUUUACUGGGCGUAAAGAGAUCGUAGGUGGCUUGUUAAGUCGGAUGUGAAAUCCCGGGGCUCAACCCCGGAACUGCAUCCGAUACUGGCAGGCUUGAGUUUGGGAGGGGUAAGCGGAAUUCCGUGUGUAGCAGUGAAAUGCGUAGAUAUACGGAGGAACACCUGAGGCGAAGGCGGCUUACUGGACCAAUACUGACACUGAGGAUCGAAAGCGUGGGUAGCAAACAGGAUUAGAUACCCUGGUAGUCCACGCCCUAAACGAUGUCAACUAGCCGUUGCGGGUAU